GGCAGUAUUGGGGGCAGUAUACAGUAUUACUAUGCUGCUGGCAGUAUACAGUAUUACUAUGCUGCUGGCAGUAUACAGUAUUACUAUGCUGCUGGCAGUAUACAGUAUUACUAUGCUGCUGGCAGUAUUUGGGGGGCAGUAUACAGUAUUACUAUGCUGCUGGCAGUAUACAGUAUUACUAUGCUGCUGGCAGUAUACAGUAUUACUAUGCUGCUGGCAGUAUACAGUAUUACUAUGCUGCUGGCAGUAUUUGGGGGGCAGUAUACAGUAUUACUACGCUGCUGGCAGUAUUGGGGGGGCAGUAUACAGUAUUACUACGCUGCUGGCAGUAUGGGGGGCAGUAUACAGUAUUACUACGCUGCUGGCAGUAUUGGGGGGCAGUAUACAGUAUUACUACGCUGCUGGCAGUAUUGGGGGGCAGUAUACAGUAUUACUACGCUGCUGGCAGUAUUGGGGGGCAGUAUACAGUAUUACUACGCUGCUGGCAGUAUUGGGGGGCAGUAUACAGUAUUACUAUGCUGCUGGCAGUAUUGGGGGGCAGUAUACAGUAUUACUAUGCUGCUGGCAGUAUUGGGGGGCAGUAUACAGUAUUACUAUGCUGCUGGCAGUAUACAGUAUUACUAUGCUGCUGGCAGUAUUGGGGGGGCAGUAUACAGUAUUACUAUGCCGCUGGCAGUAUUUGGGGGGCAGUAUACAGUAUUACUAUGCCGCUGGCAGUAUUUGGGGGGCAGUAUACAGUAUUACUAUGCCGCUGGCAGUAUUGGGGCGGCAGUAUACAGUAUUACUAUGCCGCUGGCAGUAUUGGGGCGGCAGUAUACAGUAUUACUAUGCCGCUGGCAGUAUUGGGGGGGCAGUAUACAGUAUUACUAUGCCGCUGGCAGUAUUGGGGGGGCAGUAUACAGUAUUACUAUGCCGCUGGCAGUAUUGGGGGGCAGUAUACAGUAUUACUAUGCUGCUGGCAGUAUUGGGGGGGCAGUAUACAGUAUUACUAUGCUGCUGGCAGUAUUGGGGGGCAGUAUACAGUAUUACUAUGCUGCUGGCAGU
Pelobates cultripes (western spadefoot toad) is the source of this 1044-nucleotide non-coding RNA. NCBI's taxonomy places the organism in Eukaryota, Metazoa, Chordata, Amphibia, Anura, Pelobatidae. The record is from the annotation of a GenBank genome assembly.